This is a long non-coding RNA of Stomoxys calcitrans (stable fly), 318 nucleotides long. RefSeq lists it as uncharacterized. Lineage: Eukaryota; Metazoa; Arthropoda; Insecta; Diptera; Muscidae. The transcript is spliced from 2 exons. The record is from RefSeq and is a predicted model, not a curated record.
AAUUCUCUGUGGCUUUUGAUUAAUUUUCUUUGCUGUAUAACCUUUACAUAUAUGCAAGUAUAAGAAGUAAUAAUAACAAAACACGGAAAAUGUCUUUUCAUCUAGACCCAUUUCUCCCCAUAUACCUAAAAGUGGAGGUAACUGAAAUGGUGAUUAAAAUGAAAUGUAAUGUUUUUUUGAAAAUUCGAAGUGCUUACCAACAACAAAAACGAGACUAUCCAAACAAACGCCAGUUGGCAUAUUAUCCACUUUCUUCUGUACAAUUGAAUAUAGAUGUUGUGACAAGCUAUCAAAAUAUAUCUAUAGAAAAAAUGCUUA